Molecule: ribosomal RNA, 503 nt
Filed under: uncultured bacterium
Lineage: Bacteria
Description: partial 16S ribosomal RNA
Rfam family: Bacterial small subunit ribosomal RNA
Source: RNAcentral
AUUGAACGCUGGCGGCAGGCUUAGCACAUGCAAGUCGAGCGGGGUGAUGGUGCUUGCACUAUCACUUAGCGGCGGACGGGUGAGUAAUGCUUAGGAAUCUGCCUAUUAGUGGGGGACAACAUCUCGAAAGGGAUGCUAAUACCGCAUACGUCCUACGGGAGAAAGCAGGGGAUCACUUGUGACCUUGCGCUAAUAGAUGAGCCUAAGUCGGAUUAGCUAGUUGGUGGGGUAAAGGCCUACCAAGGCGACGAUCUGUAGCGGGUCUGAGAGGAUGAUCCGCCACACUGGGACUGAGACACGGCCCAGACUCCUACGGGAGGUAGCAGUGGGGAAUAUUGGACAAUGGGGGGAACCCUGAUCCAGCCAUGCCGCGUGUGUGAAGAAGGCCUUAUGGUUGUAAAGCACUUUAAGCGAGGAGGAGGCUCUUUUGGUUAAUACCCAAGAUGAGUGGACGUUACUCGCAGAAUAAGCACCGGCUAACUCUGUGCCAGCCGCCGCUGUAA